Molecule: ribosomal RNA, 483 nt
Filed under: uncultured bacterium
Lineage: Bacteria
Description: partial 16S ribosomal RNA
Rfam family: Bacterial small subunit ribosomal RNA
Source: RNAcentral
AUUGAACGCUGGCGGCAGGCCUAACACAUGCAAGUCGAGCGGAUGAAGGGAGCUUGCUCCUGGAUUCAGCGGCGGACGGGUGAGUAAUGCCUAGGAAUCUGCCUGGUAGUGGGGGAUAACGUCCGGAAACGGGCGCUAAUACCGCAUACGUCCUGAGGGAGAAAGUGGGGGAUCUUCGGGCCUCACGCUAUCAGAUGAGCCUAGGUCGGAUUAGCUAGUUGGUGGGGUAAAGGCCUACCAAGGCGACGAUCCGUAACUGGUCUGAGAGGAUGAUCAGUCACACUGGAACUGAGACACGGUCCAGACUCCUACGGGAGGCAGCAGUGGGGAAUAUUGGACAAUGGGCGAAAGCCUGAUCCAGCCAUGCCGCGUGUGUGAAGAAGGUCUUCGGAUUGUAAAGCACUUUAAGUUGGGAGGAAGGGCAGUAAGUUAAUACCUUGCUGUUUUGACGUGACCAACAGAAUAAGCACCGGCUAACUUCGU